ACUUAGUCUUUAGUUGUUCUAAAGCUCGGCCUUUGUCCCUUAGUAGCAUUACGGCUCUUUCUGCCAUUCAGGAAAAGAGGUCUCUCUAUCCUCCUGUUUCAAAUGUUGGGUUGCCUUCUCUACCUUUGGGAGAAUGGCUUUUGCAGCACAUGGCAUUUUAAAGGUCUCCCUUUGAUCAGCCUGGCUGCAUGCAGGGGGGUUUCUUGAUGAUGGCCUUGCCUCUUCUCUUCCUUGAAGCGUUGGGUUAGAUGGGCUCCUUUGUAGCAGCAUGGUAUCUCUUGGGGACGCCACUGGCGCCUUUCAUUGGUGCCUAAUCUCUCAAUGGUUAAAGGAGCUAAAGAGCUCUGCCUUGCGCUUGUUUGGUCUUUCCCCUCUGUUCAUCUCCAAGUUAUUGUGUGGUUACUUCUUAAUGUUGUCUAUGGGCUCUACCAAGCUUGUCUUUCUUUAGGAUGGCUUCCAUUGGGGUUUAUAUGAGUAGGUGCUUUGUCAUGAUGAAAAACCCUUUUGCUUCAUUGGUUUCCUUUGCUUCCUAGAAAGUGUCAUUUAGCUUUGGUUAGGAUUCCUCUACUACCAGGUUCCUUCUCUUUUCGAUCAUGCCCAUAUUGCUAGGUUUGUUUUGAGCCUCUGGCCUUUUAGUGGGCUGUGGCUUCGGGUAGCCUAUUAGGGGCUUUUUUUUUUUUUUUUUAACAGACCCUGGUUUUUAGCUUGGGUUUAGUGUGUGAUUUUAGUUUUUUAGGUUUAGCUAAUUUACUAUUGGAUCCUAGUUGGAUAUCUUAUAUGUACUGCCUAGCCUUUAUUAUAGUAAUAAAUUUAAUAUCUUUGGCAAAAAAAAAGUAAAAUAGAGAAAUUUUUGUUAUUUUUAUAAUAUCCCUGCCAUUCAAAAUACUAAAACAAAGCAAAAACUAUAAGAAAACCAUGGAAAAGAAAUGAAACAAACUUAUAAUUUAAAUUUGUACAAAACAAAUUCGCAUAAGCGAAAGAGAUAAUUCUAAAUAACUUAAAAAUCUUACGAAACAUUAAUUUUACAAUAGAAACCCACAAAAGAGAGAAAACCUGAAAUUUUAGUGGGGUAAAAUACUAUUAAGUUAAUAUAAAAUAAAUGGGUUCAAUGGCAAUAAUUGCCCCUACUUCCUUACAACUGUUGGGGAUCACAGGAGCCAUAGUAAUCUGGUGAUGAUGGGAAAGGAGGGAGGCAUGAAGCAAGAAAGGGGGAGACAAAGAUUAGGUGUUAUAGAUUGCUAUAGAAGAGUUGAGAAAUCAGAGGGAAAGGUAAGGACUUGGUCAGUGGAUGGGUGGAGAAACCUUUAUCAUAAAUAAGGCCCUCUAAUCCCUUUUCAAAUCAUGAAUUAGGGAUACCAUGUUAAUCCUUGAAAUAACUUACAAUAAGCAAAUAAAACAUCCUCUAAACAAUAAUCUUAAAAGAAAAGGCCUUAGCAAAAAAAAAAAAGCCAAACUUUGUCAGGUUUUGGUAAUUUUAUCCAAUCAUUUCAUUCUUGGCAUAACUAACCAAAUUUUCAAACGAUAUAAAAAUUUUAUCCAAAAUUAAAAUUGAAUUUGAAGGGAGUGUGCCCCAGUAUUUGUGGCACCUUAUUUAGCAUUUUUUAAUAUAAAAUAAUGGACUCUAUUUGCCACAUAAGCUAACUCUAAGUUAAGGAACUUAGUUAACCUUAUUAAUUAAACUAAUUAAAAUAAAAAAAUUCAUUUAAAUCUAAAAUCUCUAACAACAAUAACUAAACAGAACCCUAAUUCUAUAAACAUUUUGUAGAAUGAGAAAGUAAGAGGGUGAGAGAGAGAGGUGAAGGUUGAAGGGUGUGAUAGAACGGGAGAAGCUUGACUGGACCCUUCACUGCUCGACUCAGCAAAAUGUCAGCGAUGGGUUUUUUUUGUUGGCUUUGAAUCUAAUGUUCUUUAUUCUUUGUUUUCUUUAGUUUCCCUCAUUAGUAAUAUGUUUUAGACUUUAUGACAAUAGGUGGGUUGCCUUUGCAAAAUUCUUCCUUUACCUUAGCUCUAGGAUGAGAGUAAAAUAAGGUUCAACAAUUGCAAUAUCUGUAAUAGAAUCAAAGCCAAAAAAGUAACACAUGAGGAACAUCUAAAGAUGUAGAUGCUAUAGAUAAAAAUGAAUCAAAGAAUGAAUCUAUUGUUAGCAAUUUUAUGCAUUUUGAGUCUUUGAAAACAAUGCCUUGAAUUAAUGUGCUUAGUGCUCAAGAACUUGAUGGAACAAGCUUUGGGUAUAUGUGGGUUGCAUUAUUAUACUAGAAUGUUUAAACUAAAAAAUAAAGCUCUGUCGUAACAUUACUUAUAAAAAAAAUAAUAAUAACAAAGCCAAAAUGAUGUGCCUACCCUGAAACUAAAAAGCUUAGAGAUGAAUGCAUUAUGGAGCAUGGUGAAACUGCUUGUGUAAAAUGGACCGACGCUCAUUGUCAAUGCCUUCGAGUUGAUGGUUUUAAUGCUAAAAAUUGAUUUAAAUGGUUGAGUUGAUAAUUGAUACUAUUUUGGGGCAUAGGAUUUGUUUUAGUUAUGUUCUUAGUUUUUUUUUUUUUAAUUUUAGUUAGUUUAAUUAACUAUGGUUAUCUAAGUGGGUUAACUAUGAGUUAGCAUAUGUGGCCCAUUAUUUUAUAUUAAAAAAUAUUAGGUGGAGUGUCACAUAGGAUGGGGCACCCUCACCCAGAUCCAAUUUUAAUUAUGCAUAGAAUUUUGGCCGAUUGUGUUAAGAAUUAGACAAUUGAAUAAAAUCACCAAAACAUGAUAGCGUUUGGCUUUUUUGGCCAAUAUGCCAAAAGAAAAAGAGGUGAGAAAACAUGAAAACAAAUAAAACACAAUAUAUAUCAAAGAGGGGAAAACAUUUUGGAAAAGAGUGCAUUUGAGAAAGAGAUUAAAACCUUUUCUACCUACAUAUCUUCAAGAAAUAAAGAAAAGAAGAAAAUUGGAUGCAAGAUUUAAGUGGUUCAACUAUAAGAGAAAAAAAAAAAUCUAUGUUCAUAAACAAGACAUAAGAGAAAAAAAAUUCACUAUAAUGAAAAAAGUGAGAUAUAAUUAGAAAAAAACUAUCCAGACCCUAACCCUAGUUUGUUUUUCCUAAAUUCUAAUAAUACUAUUGAAAUAUGCAAGUUAUACAACAUUUAUAUUCGUUCAUAUCCUCCGCUAUAAUUAUAGACCUCACAAAAUAUUCCAUUCGAACGCAGCAUAAACUUUUUGGCUAAGUCAAAAUUCAAGUCCAUAAAAAUAUAUCCAAAAAUUAAGCCACGUUAUAACAUCUUGUGCAUGAGAAAGAAAUUGAAGGUGUGUUCUAAUCAAGGUGGCCUUUUCUCCAAUUAAUUUAUUAUGCUCAUCUUGUGAAAGAAAGUUGCAUCCUCUCAAGUUAAUGCUAGAAAGAUACUUCUGAAAACUUUCAUAAAAUUUAUGGUGUUUAUUGCUACACAAAUAAGGUUUCAUCAGAAUCUGUAAACUGGAUUAAGAGAUAAUGUUAAUACUUUGAUGAUUGAUUUUGUGACAUCUCUACAUCAUUAGGCUUAGGAACUUGUGAAGUGCUCAGGGUAGCAAUUUCAAAAUCAUUGUGGAAAAUCCAAAUACCGCUCAAUUGCAUAAAAAACAUAUGCUAGUUGAUCCAAUCCAUGUGAUUUAUAGUGACACUAGCUAAAAUUAUAGCCUCCACGAUUUGACAUUGAGAUCCUCCCUCUAUGGCUGGUUUCUGGAAAAAAAGCACAGUCCGUCUUACUAAUAUAUAGUAUUUUUAUGGAAUUAAUUGUAUUAAUUCAUGUAAAUAUUUAGACUUUUAAUUAAUUUUAAUUACAUUUUAUAGUUUUAUUUUGCUAAAAGUUAAUUUUUUUCAUUUUAAUUGAUUUUUUUAUUUUAGGAAAAAAUUAUAAAGAAGAAUGAAGAAUGGAAGAAAGUCCAAUUUUUGGUAGAAAAUCUCAUGGUCAGCCAUGAGAAUCACAUGAUGAGCUGUGGGACUAAAGACACGAGCAUGAUUGCUUGUGGGACUUUAAUAGGUUGCAUGGCCAGCCAUGAGAUUGUCUCUUACACGCAUGGUUAGCCAUGAGAUGGUCUUUAGAAAGUUAUUUUGCUCCUAAUAAAUGUUUGACACAUCAUCAAAAGGUGAAAUAAGGUCCAAAAGUGGUGGUGGUUAGAAAUGGGAGCAGAAGAGGAAUAGGGAAUGUUUUUUUUAGAGAGAGCUUUUGGGAUCCAAACACUCAAAAAAGAUUUUAAUUGUGCUGGAGCAAGGAAUUUAGAAGGGGGAUUUUGGAAGCUUGAAGGAGGAAGACACAAUCUGCAUCCUAAAGAGUUUUUAUUUUCUUCCCUUUUAAUUCCUUUUCUUUAAGAGAAAUACAUUUUUGUUGAAUGACGUUAAAUUUUGAUUUGUUGAGUUUUAUUGUGGUUUUUGAUAUUGUGAGUGGCUAAAUAUUUUAGCUAGGGAUUUUAUUUAGCUUGACUUGAUUUGAUCUUUAGAUUUUGAUCUAA
This is a long non-coding RNA of Hevea brasiliensis (rubber tree), 4458 nucleotides long. RefSeq lists it as uncharacterized. NCBI's taxonomy places the organism in Eukaryota, Viridiplantae, Streptophyta, Magnoliopsida, Malpighiales, Euphorbiaceae. The record is from RefSeq and is a predicted model, not a curated record. The transcript is spliced from 2 exons.